Rhamnusium bicolor is the source of this 80-nucleotide non-coding RNA. The record is from the annotation of a GenBank genome assembly. NCBI's taxonomy places the organism in Eukaryota, Metazoa, Arthropoda, Insecta, Coleoptera, Cerambycidae.
GGCGGCUUUGUGGAGUAGUUGGCAAGAACGCGCGAUGGCUAGUGUCCAUCAUACUGCGGGUUCGAAUCCCGCCACCGGCA